GAUGAACGCUAGCGGCAGGCCUAACACAUGCAAGUCGAGGGGCAGCGCAGGUAGCAAUACUGGGCGGCGACCGGCGCACGGGUGAGUAACGCGUAUGCAACCUGCCCCCGUCUGGGGAAUAGCCCGUCGAAAGGCGGAUUAAUGCCCCAUAGUUCUCUUUGCCGGCAUCGGCGAAGAGGUAAAGGUUACGGACGGGGAUGGGCAUGCGUGCCAUUAGCUUGUUGGCGGGGUAACGGCCCACCAAGGCUACGAUGGCUAGGGGAGCUGAGAGGCUGAACCCCCACACUGGUACUGAGACACGGACCAGACUCCUACGGGAGGCAGCAGUGAGGAAUAUUGGUCAAUGGGCGAGAGCCUGAACCAGCCAUGCCGCGUGCAGGAAGACGGCCCUACGGGUUGUAAACUGCUUUUCUGCGGGAAGAACGGCCC
This 429-nucleotide ribosomal RNA is filed under the name uncultured bacterium. RNAcentral describes it as "bacterial SSU rRNA". It matches the Rfam family "Bacterial small subunit ribosomal RNA", at positions 28 to 455 of the family's 1533-position model. The record is from RNAcentral.